GAUGAACGCUGGCGGCGUGCCUAAUACAUGCAAGUCGAGCGAACAGACGAGGAGCUUGCUCCUCUGACGUUAGCUGCGGACGGGUGAGUAACACGUGGAUAACCUACCUAUAAGACUGGGAUAACUUCGGGACACCGGAGCUAAUACCGGAUAAUAUAUUGAACCGCAUGGUUCAAUAGUGAAAGACGGUUUUGCUGUCACUUCUAGAUGGAUCCGCGCCGCAUUAGCUAGUUGGUCAGGUAACGGCUUACCAAGGCAACGAUGCGUAGCCGACCUGAGAGGGUGAUCGGCCACACUGGAACUGAGACACGGUCCAGACUCCUAAGGGAGGCAGCAGUAGGGAAUCUUCCGCAAUGGGCGAAAGCCUGACGGAGCAACGCCGCGUGAGUGAUGAAGGUCUUCGGAUCGUAAAACUCUGUUAUUAGGGAAGAACAAAUGUGUAAGUAACUAUGCACGUCUUGACGGUACCUAAUCAGAAAGCCACGGCUAACUACGUG
RNAcentral lists this ribosomal RNA (497 nucleotides) under uncultured bacterium. RNAcentral describes it as "partial 16S ribosomal RNA". It matches the Rfam family "Bacterial small subunit ribosomal RNA", at positions 28 to 507 of the family's 1533-position model. The record is from RNAcentral.